GUGGAUAACCUGCCUUACACUGGGGGAUAACACUUAGAAAUAGGUGCUAAUACCGCAUAAGCGCACGGAGCCGCAUGGCUUAGUGUGAAAAACUCCGGUGGUGUAAGAUGGAUCCGCGUCUGAUUAGCUGGUUGGCGGGGUAGAAGCCCACCAAGGCGACGAUCAGUAGCCGGCCUGAGAGGGUGAACGGCCACAUUGGGACUGAGACACGGCCCAAACUCCUACGGGAGGCAGCAGUGGGGAAUAUUGCACAAUGGGGGAAACCCUGAUGCAGCAACGCCGCGUGAGUGAAGAAGUCAUUCGUGAUGUAAAGCUCUAUCAGCAGGGAAGAAAAUGACGGUACCUGAGUAAGAAGCCCCGGCUAACUACGUGCCAGCAGCCGCGGUAAUACGUAGGGGGCAAGCGUUAUCCGGAUUUACUGGGUGUAAAGGGAGCGUAGACGGCCAGGCAAGUCUGAAGUGAAAAUCCAGCGCUUAACGUUGGAAGUGCUUUGGAAACUGCCGGGCUAGAGUGCAGGAGGGGCAGGCGGAAUUCCUAGUGUAGCGGUGAAAUGCGUAGAUAUUAGGAGGAACACCAGUGGCGAAGGCGGCCUGCUGGACUGCAACUGACGUUGAGGCUCGAAGGCGUGGGGAGCAAACAGGAUUAGAUACCCUGGUAGUCCACGCGGUAAACGAUGAUUAC
RNAcentral lists this ribosomal RNA (681 nucleotides) under uncultured bacterium. RNAcentral describes it as "bacterial SSU rRNA". It matches the Rfam family "Bacterial small subunit ribosomal RNA", at positions 117 to 816 of the family's 1533-position model. The record is from RNAcentral.